AGCAGCCGCGGUAAUUCCAGCUCCAAUAGCGUAUAUUAAAGUUGUUGCAGUUAAAAGCUCGUAGUUGAAUUUCGGGAUUGACGUGAUGGUCAUGCCUUAAGGGGUAUGAACUGUUACUGUUGAUUUCUCACCUUCUGGAGAAACUUGAUGUCCUUUAUUGGGUGUCUUGCGGAUCCAGGACCUUUACCUUGAAAAAUUAGAGUGUUUAAAGCAGGCAUUUUUGCUCGAAUACAUUAGCAUGGAAUAAUAGAAUAGGACGGCAUGGUUCUAUUUUGUUGGUUUCUAGGAUCACCGUAAUGAUUAAUAGGGAUAGUUGGGGGCAUUAGUAUUCAAUUGUCAGAGGUGAAAUUCUUGGAUUUAUUGAAGACUAACUACUGCGAAAGCAUUUGCCAAGGAUGUUUUCAUUAAUCAAGAACGAAAGUUAGGGGAUACGAAGACGAUCAGAUACCGUCGUAGUCUUAACCAUAAACUAUGCCGACUAGGAAUCAGACGAUGUUUAAUUUUUAAUGUACUUCGUUUG
Molecule: unclassified non-coding RNA, 520 nt
Filed under: uncultured Entrophospora
Lineage: Eukaryota; Fungi; Glomeromycota; Glomeromycetes; Entrophosporales; Entrophosporaceae
Description: SSU rRNA
Rfam family: Eukaryotic small subunit ribosomal RNA
Source: RNAcentral